Molecule: ribosomal RNA, 274 nt
Filed under: uncultured bacterium
Lineage: Bacteria
Description: partial 16S ribosomal RNA
Rfam family: Bacterial small subunit ribosomal RNA
Source: RNAcentral
AUACGGAGGGUGCAAGCGUUACUCGGAAUCACUGGGCGUAAAGCGCGCGUAGGCGGGUUGGCAAGUCAGAUGUGAAAUCCUACAGCUUAACUGUAGAACUGCAUUUGAAACUGCUAACCUAGAGUAUGGGAGGGGGAGAUGGAAUUAGUGGUGUAGGGGUAAAAUCCGUAGAUAUCACUAGGAAUACCGAAAGCGAAGGCGAUCUCCUGGAACAUAACUGACGCUAAGGCGUGAAAGCGUGGGGAGCAAACAGGAUUAGAAACCCUUGUAGUCC